AGUAGUAUUUUAAUAUUAUUUACAUAAUAAAAUUUGAUUUUAAUUAUAUUUGUUAGGUUUAUAGAUAGCUAUCAUACUAAUGAUCUAUUCAUUGUUGUUUUAGGCCAUUCUCUAUAGGUGAUGAGGCGAGGGCGAGGUUCGUCGAAGAACCUCAUCCUUGAGCAUGGGAGAUGCGAGCACUUGAGAUAGCAUCUCUGUAUCGAGAUUCUAUCAG
Molecule: long non-coding RNA, 214 nt
Filed under: Elaeis guineensis (African oil palm)
Lineage: Eukaryota; Viridiplantae; Streptophyta; Magnoliopsida; Arecales; Arecaceae
Description: long non-coding RNA (EGUI_LNC008560)
Source: RNAcentral